Molecule: ribosomal RNA, 375 nt
Filed under: uncultured Alphaproteobacteria bacterium
Lineage: Bacteria; Pseudomonadati; Pseudomonadota; Alphaproteobacteria
Description: bacterial SSU rRNA
Rfam family: Bacterial small subunit ribosomal RNA
Source: RNAcentral
GAGUUUGAUCAUGGCUCAGAGCGAACGCUGGCGGCAGGCUUAACACAUGCAAGUCGAGCGCCCCGCAAGGGGAGCGGCAGACGGGAGAGUAACACGUGGGAACAUACCUUUUGGUUCGGAACAACUGAGGGAAACUUCAGCUAAUACCGGAUAAGCCCUUACGGGGAAAGAUUUAUCGCCGAAAGAUUGGCCCGCGUCUGAUUAGCUAGUUGGUGGGUAAUGGCCCACCAAGGCGACGAUCAGUAGCUGGUCUGAGAGGACGAUCAGCCACACUGGGACUGAGACACGGCCCAGACUCCUACGGGAGGCAGCAGUGGGAAUUUUGGACAAUGGGGGCAACCCUGAUCCAGCAAUGCCGCGUGUGUGAAGAAGGCC